UACGUAGGGUGCAAGCGUUGUCCGGAAUUAUUGGGCGUAGAGAGCUCGUAGGCGGUCUGUCGCGUCGGCUGUGAAAACCCGGAGCUCAACUCCGGGCCUGCAGUCGAUACGGGCAGACUGGAGUUCGGCAGGGGAGACUGGAAUUCCUGGUGUAGCGGUGAAAUGCGCAGAUAUCAGGAGGAACACCGGUGGCGAAGGCGGGUCUCUGGGCCGAUACUGACGCUGAGGAGCGAAAGCGUGGGGAGCGAACAGG
This 253-nucleotide ribosomal RNA is filed under the name uncultured bacterium. RNAcentral's name for it is "partial 16S ribosomal RNA". It matches the Rfam family "Bacterial small subunit ribosomal RNA", at positions 524 to 776 of the family's 1533-position model. The record is from RNAcentral.